AGCGAACGUUAGCGGCGCGCCUAACACAUGCAAGUCGCACGAGAAAGGGAGCAAUCCCCGGUACAGUGGCGCACGGGUGAGUAACACGUAGAUGACCUUCCCUGGAGUGGUGGAUAACCUGCCGAAAGGCGGGCUAAUACAGCAUGGGACCACAUGGUUUUGACCGAGUGGUGAAAGCGGGCCUCUGUUCACAAGCUCGCGCUCUGGGAUGGGUCUGCGUCCCAUCAGCUAGUUGGUGAGGUAAUGGCUCACCAAGGCAUCGACGGGUAGCUGGUCUGAGAGGAUGACCAGCCACACUGGAACUGAGACACGGUCCAGACUCCUACGGGAGGCAGCAGUGGGGAAUCUUGCGCAAUGGGCGAAAGCCUGACGCAGCGACGCCGCGUGGUGAUGAAGGCCUCGGUUGUAAG
RNAcentral lists this ribosomal RNA (410 nucleotides) under uncultured bacterium. RNAcentral's name for it is "bacterial SSU rRNA". It matches the Rfam family "Bacterial small subunit ribosomal RNA", at positions 29 to 429 of the family's 1533-position model. The record is from RNAcentral.